UGCGGGGUGGAGCAGCCAGGUAGCUCGUCGGGCUCAUAACCCGAAGGUCGUCAGUUCAAAUCUGGCCCCCGCGACCA
Molecule: transfer RNA, 77 nt
Filed under: Myxococcales bacterium
Lineage: Bacteria; Pseudomonadati; Myxococcota; Myxococcia; Myxococcales
Description: tRNA-Met
Rfam family: tRNA
About the family: Transfer RNA (tRNA) molecules are approximately 80 nucleotides in length. Their secondary structure includes four short double-helical elements and three loops (D, anti-codon, and T loops).
Source: RNAcentral